GGUGGAGGGUUAAAAAAUAUAAUUUCUAGAUUGAGUAAUAUGUAAGGGGAGGAAAGUAGAGAACGUACAACUGGAACUUGACGCAGCUAGCUGGGAACAAGCGUCAGUUUCUGUAAACAGCUCCAUGCUAUUGUUUUAACCAAAUCAAGUGUGGAUCAGGGUAGAAGCGUAGGUAUGAUUUAAGAUAGUAACUAAGGAAUAGGAUAAUCAGUAUCUAGGGGUGGGGGUUAGUUAACAUGUGUAUAAUGUAAACUAUAAAAAUCACGAAUCGACUCUGUAUGCUUUGGACAUCAGAUUUGGGUGUAUUAUCACCCCGGUGUCCCGCGCGCUGGAAUAAAGAACCGCAUAUGAUCGCCUCUGUGUGGUUAUAUGUUUUCCUACGCUAACAUUUUUGGCGACCCAGGUGGGACCUUGUGGGCGCAGCCAGGACCCCGCGACCCGAUCACGCUCCAGCCGGCACCGGGUGAUUUCUCGGGGAGCCCAUCGGAGCCGCGACCCUCGCCGCUCACAACGACCCCUGGUGAGAGAAAGUAGGAAACUAUUUGCCUUUGAGUGGGAACAUCCAGAAAGUGGAAGAAAAACUCAGCUCACCUGGAGUCGAUUACCGAUGGGGUACAAGGGGUCGCCCACUCUCUUUGGAAGUCAACUGGCAAAAGAACUGGAAAUCUGGACCAGAGAAGGAGCCUCAGAAUCUACACGAGCUGCGGAUCUUCCUCGGAAUGACAGGGUGGUGUCGCCUGUGGAUCAUGGACUAUGGACUGAUUGCAAAACCCUUGUACGAGGCUCAGAAGACGCAGCCGUUCACCUGGGGCAAACCACAGAAAGAGGCCUUCCAGAAGUUAAAGGAAGCACUGACAACUGCUCCUGCUUUGGGAUUACCUGAUCUGUCUAAAGACUUUCAGCUGUACGUGCAUGAAAGGCAGCGACUGGCACUGGGAGUCCUGACCCAACGACUGGGAAGCUGGAAAAGGCCGGUGGGUUACUUUUCCAAACAACUCGACAACGUAAGUGCCGGAUGGCCUUCAUGUCUGCGGGCAGUGGCAGCUACCGUGCUGCUGAUACAGGAAGCCAGGAAGCUCACAAUGGGAAGACACAUAGAUGUCUAUGUGCCACACAUGGUAACUACAGUCCUGGAACAAAAGGGGGGCCAUUGGCUCUCUCCAAGCCGGAUGAUGAAGUUUCAGGUAACCCUGACUGAGCAGGAUGAUGUUGCACUAAAAACAACUAACCUCUUGAAUCCAGCUCUAUUUCUAGGUGCCACAGCUGAGGAAGGUCCAUUAGAGCAUGACUGUCUAGAAGUCAUCGAGCACACUUAUUCAGCAAGAACAGAUCUGAAGGAUGUCCCCCUGGAGCAACCAGAGUGGGAACUCUUUACAGAUGGAAGCAGCUUCAUGGAGAACGGAGCCAGAUACGCGGGAUAUGCGGUAACUACAAUUGAUGUAGUAAUAGAGGCAAAAUCACUACCACCUAACACGUCUGCACAAAGGGCAGAACUAAUCGCAUUAACCAGAGCACUCGAGCUGAGUGAAGGGAAGACAGUGAAUAUUUGGACUGAUUCCAAAUAUGCCUUCGGAGUAGUGCAUGUACACGGAGCUUUAUGGAAAGAAAGAGGACUGCUGUCCUCCCAAGGGACAAAUAUUAAACAUCAAGAUGCAGUCCUACAAUUGAUAGAUGCAGUACAAAAACCUGAACAAGUAGCAAUCAUGCACUGCAAGGCACAUCAAUCAGGCAACUCCAAAAUUUGUGAAGGAAAUCGAAAAGCAGAUUGGGCAGCCCGUCAGGUAGCGCGAGAGGUGCAGAAAACAAUGGCAUUGAUACCAUCAAGACUUAAUAUCUCUCAAUUUAAUUUGCCUCCGAAGCCAAACUAUACAAUCGAAGAUGACAGACUAGCACAACUGCUGAAGGCACAGAAGAAUGCAGAAGGGUGGUAUGUAACCGCACAAGGGCAAAUAGUGGUACCUCCUUUGGUAAUGAGAGAAAUUUUACAGGUAAAACAUAAUGAGUGUCACUGGGGUGCAGAGGCGUUGGUAAAGUGGUUAAGACAAUACCUAAUCUCAGUACAGAUGCAAACAAUGGCCAAGUCAGUAAUGUCUAAAUGUGAAAUCUGUCUGAAAAACAAUCCCGUAGCUAGACGACAGGCACAGUUAGGCAGAAUUCGGAUAGGAAUAGAACCAGGAGACUAUUGGCAAGUGGAUUUUGCAGAACUGCCAAAAACUCGGGGAUACAAAUACCUGUUAGUAGGGGUUGACACGUUUUCUGGAUGGCCAGAAGCCCUUCCCUGUCGCACAAACCAAGCAAAGGAAACAGUUAAGUGGUUAUUACAGGAGAUCAUUCCCAGGUUUGGGGUGCCCCUAGGGAUAUCAUCAGACAGAGGCCCACACUUCAUAGCCACGGUGGUACAAGAGGUAAGCAAGUUAUUGGGAUUAUCUUGGGACCUCCACACACCAUGGAGACCCCAGUCAAGUGGGCAAGUAGAAAGAAUGAACCAGACACUGAAGAGGCAGAUCAGUAAAAUAUGCCAGGAAGCCAAACUGCAGUGGCCACAGGCUUUGCCGAUAGCAUUGCUGAGGGUUCGGAUAAAGCCUAGGAGUGGGAUGUCAGUUAGUCCUUAUGAAAUAUUGUAUGGGAAACCAUAUGAAUCUCCUAACCCCAAUCCAAAUGUUCAUGUCACAGGGAAACAAGAUGUGUAUAAUUAUGUUCUGUCCCUCGGGAAAACUCUAGCUCGGCUCCGAAGUGUUCUCGUGUGGAACAGACCACUGGCCCUGGAGAAUCCAGUCCACAAUAUCGAACCAGGAGAUGAGGUAUACAUCAAAACCUGGAACGAAGAACCACUAAAAGAGAAGUGGACUGGUCCCCAUCAGGUACUGCUAACCACCUUUACAGCAGUCAAAGUGGCUGGAGUGGAACCCUGGAUACACUACACACGUGUGAAGAAGGUCCCUCGUGGAGUCCAGUCGUGGGCUGUAGAAACUUUUGGACCAACAAAGCUGAGGCUGAAACGUCUGUAACUGUUCAAAUGGUAUUGGUAACUGUGCUCAUGCUCUUCCUGUGGGUAAUGUUAAUUUCAUGGAUACUAAUGUCACCAGUAGGGAUUGCUGUUACUUUGGGAUAUGGGAUACAGAAGGGUCAACUAACAACUCUUCAUUCUAGAAUGAAGAAAGAGAUACAGGCAAAAACACAAGUAAUAGAAAUUUCUAAUGAAAUUCGGGCUGAGAAUGUAAUGAUUGGAUUGGUCAGAGACUUUGCUAAAAUGCAUAAUACCAGCAGAAUAACGGCCUGUCUGCCAAUACCAAAGGCAGCAGGGGACCCAGUAAGCUGGGGAAUAAUAACGUCAAAAUUACCUGAAAUAGGAGGGAACAAAACAAUUAACUGUAAACAAGUACCAGAGUCAAGGGUGGUGGUCAGAGAAUACUGGAAGAUAACAGAGGAUUCCUAUAUGCAACCCAUGAGAAAGUCGGAGUGCAUUCUUAGUAAUGGCAAAUUGGGACAAAUCAUAGAGUGGUGGGUUAAGGACCAAGACCUUGCAAAAUGGCAAUGUUGGUUUCUACGCUAUCAAAAGAUCAGGGACAACGCUACAGAAAGUGUUGUGGUGUGGAAAUGUGAAGAGAAGGAUUGGAAAGGACUGGAACCUUGGGACAGUGCAUGGUCUGUGAGCAUCCUCCAGAAAUUCCAAUAUAUGGAAAGCACACCCUGGUGCAUUAAAUGGAAAGGCUCUGAAAAUGAGACAGAUCCCACAGUGGCAAAUACUGAUACUAGCAGUCAGAAAGAGGCAAAUAAGGUAAGUUGGUGGGUAUGUAAGAAAAUUUAUGAUUGCACCUCUGACAAUCUAGAAAUGAAACAGUGGUCACCAUUGGCAAUAGCCUUACGAAUUGGUUGUGCCUGCAGGAAAAUUAAACACAAACAAGGCAAAAUAGAUUCUAAGAUUAUAGUAGGAUGUAGCAGGAGUACCAUUCGAAGUCCAGGACCAUUUGUAUGGGCAAUGAGUGAUGGCACAUGGACAACACACUUGCCUAUGGACGGGGAGGUAAGAGAAAUCACCCUGGGCCUUCCCACUUUAUGUCCAAUUUGGAAGAAAUCCCCAUUUAACAGGAGCAGUGAAGCCUUGCAAAUAAAAGCAAAGCGAGAUGUCUCAGAAGACAAGAACCCAGAUGACACUUGGAAGGAACCCUCUAGUGGAGUAAAGAUUGGGUGGGCCCUAGAAUCCUUGUUUGGUCCCAUUGCAAAUUAUCGAAAUAGAGAAAUGCUAUAUAGACUCACAGGUCAGGUAGACAGAUUAGCAAGAAUCACACGAGAGGGAUUUAGGGAACUCAAUGUGCAAUUACAGGCCACCACCAAAAUGACCCUGCAAAAUCGUUUGGCUUUAGAUAUGUUACUUUUGAAAGAACACGGAGUGUGUGGAUAUUUAAAAAGACAAAUCGACCAUUGCUGCAUCCACAUCCCAAAUGUAACUGCAAAUGUAGAACAUGACAUCAGUCAGCUAAAACAAAUAGAGCAUGAAGCACAAAAGGAACAAAAGAUUUAGCUACUAGCUGGUUGGGUAAAAUCUUUGAAAGAUUAAGAUGGAAUGUGAGUUCAUGGAUAAAGUCUAUCCUUAAAAAUCUGAUAAUUUUACUGAUUAUAUUUUUAGUAAUUUAGUUAAUUUACAGAAUCCUGAAGAGAGAGAUACAGAAAAAGGCAUCUUGGAACAGGACCAUAAUGAAGGCAUUGGCACGGAACCCAGCACCUUCAAUCCGCAACAACAUCCCAGACAAAGCCUAUGACAACAGAGGAUUUGAAGAUGAACAUCCACAGAAGAGAGCUGGAGAGGUCUGUAUGGCGUGUCCACGCAGGGCAGGGAGGAUCAGAGGUGAAUGAACAGGUUGGGAUGGAAACAGCUGAUGUUAUUUGUGGCCCAUCAGCAAGGCUGGACAAACACACGAGUGCCAAGGCUGGACUGCACAGUGCUGUACCCCACCGCACUGGGAUUUACUGAUCAUCUCACCCAUUGAGGGAAUUCCCUGCCGUGCUCCCCUGGGCACCAGAGGCACACCCAUAGAGCCUCAGAGCUCAGCCCACAAGCCUCUGGUAGUGAUUUAACCCAAGCUCCCAUACACUGAAAAACAUGGAACGUCGUAGUUUUUCUGCUGCAGAAUGCAAACAACCAUCCUUAUUUAUACAGAGACAGAAAAUGAGACAAAGGAUUGGCAGAACUGCAAUGAAAGUCAUAAAAAUCGUCUUGUAGUAACCACUACUUUUGCCCAAAAUAAGCUGCUUUGUGCACUGAACUAUGUAACUUAAAAGCACCUCAUCUUCCAUAAUUCACCACUCUCUCCAAUAUAUGAACUUAUUUUCUCAAUUCUUCUUUUAGCACACGUCCCCCCAUUUUUUCAAAUGAAGGACUCAAUAUCUGUAAUUCUAAUAUUUUAGGGUUUAUUUUUGCAAGACACUUUUAAAUGGAUAAAUAAUGAAUAGAAGAUAAUUCAGCCUGCAAAAUGAUGGUAAAUUGAAAGAGACAAUAGUUUACCAAUGAAUACAUAAGAAUCAUUCAGCAAUGUCUGUAGCUGAGACACUGAUGGGUUAGUGUAUUUGGAUACUGGUAAUUUCUCUAGGAAGGAAAAGUGAGUAGACAGCAGAGAUCAAAUCACUAAAUUGUCCUAUUACACUUUUAUUUAGAAAUGUAAAAUUCAUGCAGACAGACUUUGAAUAGACUGGAUUUUAACAGCAAAGUAAUGCAAUUCAAGCUCAGGCACCAGCUAGCAGCAAAGAUAUUUUUCACCAUCUGCUUUUGGAAAAUCCAGAUUCUUGUUCCCAGUACAGCUCCCACACAUUUUCUCUGAGUGUUCAUCUUCUAUCCUAAAAGAUUUUUAACCUGGUUAUACUUCUGAAUUCAAAACCCUGUGUAAAUUCAUGUCCCUUCCUGAAGUCAAUGGCAAAGCUCACUUAAGACUUCAAUAAGCCAAAUAAAUUGCCCUUUAAAUUUUAGAAGUCUGAAGUUGGCCAUCUGGCUCCAGAUGGUCUGAAACUACUCUUUCAGGACUGAUUCUCCAGAGCUAUCUCAGAGAGCAGAUUCCGUUCCUGCUGGGAUUGGAGCCAUCAAGUCUAGGGUCACUUUGCCAACACAAAUGGGAAGCCACUUCUACCAGUGAACAGCCCACCUGCUUUUCAGUCAGUUCUCCUUACCCUCCCUUUCACCCAACUGCUGACAUUUAUUUUACCAACAAUUACACAUACCCUCCCCCAUCAAAACAGAAAGUUAGAUGCCCUAAGUUAUAUGGAAAUAACAUUACUGAUCAUUCUAGUUCUGUGUAUCUCUGCAUUAUUACCAGUGUAUAUUCUGCAUUGUAUCAGUAUCUAUUCUGUGUAUUUUAUAUACACAUCUAUGUAUCAGGCAGGGAAGACAGGAGACAGGCAUGGCUGAGCCGGAAUCUGCUGGUUGAACUAAAGAGAAAGACAGCUGAAGCAAGGACAGGGAAGUCACCCAGGAAAAGUAUGGAAACAAAGGUUGGUUGUAUAGGGUGACCAAGAUGAGGCUGGGACUGAACCUGACAAAGGAAGCAAAGAAUAACAGGAAGAGCUUCUAAAAGUAUGAUAACCAGAAAAGGAAGAUCAGGGAGGUGUACCCUCAUAAUAAACAGCACUGGAAAAGUAGUAGCAAUGAUGAGGAUAAGGCUGAGGUACUCAGAGUCCUGAGGGAAUUGGGUGAUGUAAUAUCUCCGCGAUAUUUGAAAAGUCACAGUAAACAGGUCCCAGGUUGACUGGAAAAAGGGAAAUAUUGCACUUGUCUUUAAAAAGAGAGUAGAAAGGAAGAUCCUGGGAACUACCAACCUAUCCGACUCACCUCUGUGACCGGGAAGAUCAUGGAACAGAUCCUCCUAAAAAUUGUUCUUCAUGGAGAAGCUGUCCAUGGAAAAGGACAAGGAGAUAAUUCAAGUGGCCAGCAGAGUUCCACCAAGGGCAAGUCCUACCUGACCAACCCCAUGGUUUUCUGUGAUGGAGUGACUGCAUCAGUGGACAAGGGGAAGGACUACAGAUGUCUUUUAUUUGAACUUCUAUCCCAACUUCUAAGAAGUUCCCCACAACAUCCUUCUCUCUACAUGGGAGAGAGGUGGAUUUGAUGAGUGGACUGCUAGAUGGAUAACAAAGUGGUUGGAUGCAUCCAGAGGGUAGUGGACAAUAGCUCUGAGUCCAGAUGGUCAUCAGUGACAAAUGGUGUCCCUCCCAGAUCCAUACUGGGAUCAGUGUUACUUAAUAUCUUCAUUAACGACAGAGAUGAAGGAAUUGAGUGCACCCUCAGCAAAUUUGCAGAUGACUGAGGGCUGAGCUUGCCACACUAGGAGGGCGGGAUGUCAUCCAGAAGGACCUGGACAAGCUGAAGAAGUGGGAAGUGAGACUCCCAUGGGAGUAUCAAAAGAUGGAGUAAGACAAAGUGCAAGGUGCUGCACCUGGGUUGGGGAUGAACAGAUCCAAACCAGCCCUGUUGAGAAGAGCCCCAGGAUUCUGGGGGAUGAGAGGCUGGGCACGAGCUGGCAGCGUGUGCUCACAGCCCAGAGAACCAGACGUGCCCUGGGCUGCAUCCAAAGCCCUGAGGGCAGCAGGGCAAGGGAGGAGAUUCUGCCCCUCUGCUCCAGCCCAGAGACCCCACCUGCAGGGCUGCACCCAGCCCGGGCUCCCAGCACUGCCAGGACAGGGACCUGCUGGGGUGAGUCCAGAGGAGGCCACCACAGUGAUCAGAAGGAUGGAACAUCUGUCCUGUGAGGAAAGGCUGAGAGAAUUGGGAUUGUUCAGACAGGAGAAAGCUUCAGGGUGACUCAAUUGUGAACUUCCAGUACCUGAAGGGAGCCGACAGCAAAGACAGAGAGGGGUUUUUUACUAGGGCACGUAGU
This is an RNA transcript of Prinia subflava (tawny-flanked prinia), 7862 nucleotides long. It is a transcript of the gene named protein NYNRIN-like, with no coding region annotated. The transcript has 3 exons. The record is from RefSeq and is a predicted model, not a curated record. NCBI's taxonomy places the organism in Eukaryota, Metazoa, Chordata, Aves, Passeriformes, Cisticolidae.